UAGGGAAUAUUGGGCAAUGGAGGGAACUCUGACCCAGCCAUGCCGCGUGCAGGAUGAAGGCGUUAUGCGUUGUAAACUGCUUUUAUAUAGGAAGAAAUAGUCCUUGCGAGGAAAGUUGACGGUACUAUAUGAAUAAGCACCGGCUAACUCCGUGCCAGCAGCCGCGGUAAUACGGAGGGUGCAAGCGUUGUCCGGAUUUAUUGGGUUUAAAGGUGCGUAGGCGGUUUAUAAGUCAGUGGUGAAAGACGGUCGCUCAACGAUUGCAGUGCCAUUGAUACUGGUAGACUUGAGUAUGAUUGAGGUAGCUGGAAUGGAUAGUGUAGCGGUGAAAUGCAUAGAUAUUAUCCAGAACACCAAUUGCGUAGGCAAGUUACUAAGUCAUAACUGACGACUGAGGCACGAAAGUGUGGGUAUCAAACAGGAUUAGAUACCCACGUAGUCCCUGAGCGGGCUGGCAAGGCGCAU
This 465-nucleotide ribosomal RNA is filed under the name uncultured bacterium. Its description in RNAcentral is "bacterial SSU rRNA". It matches the Rfam family "Bacterial small subunit ribosomal RNA", at positions 355 to 825 of the family's 1533-position model. The record is from RNAcentral.